GGAAAUUCUAGGGUGACGCACCCCAGAAUCAAGCUCCCUCCUCUCUGGUUCUGGGUGCAUCACUGGAGAACCACA
Molecule: non-coding RNA, 75 nt
Organism: Myotis lucifugus (little brown bat)
Lineage: Eukaryota; Metazoa; Chordata; Mammalia; Chiroptera; Vespertilionidae
Source: Rfam